This 468-nucleotide ribosomal RNA is filed under the name uncultured bacterium. RNAcentral describes it as "partial 16S ribosomal RNA". It matches the Rfam family "Bacterial small subunit ribosomal RNA", at positions 28 to 507 of the family's 1533-position model. The record is from RNAcentral.
GACGAACGCUGGCGGCGUGCUUAACACAUGCAAGUCGAACGGAAAGGCCCUGCUUUUGUGGGGUGCUCGAGUGGCGAACGGGUGAGUAACACGUGAGUAACCUGCCCUUGACUUUGGGAUAACUUCAGGAAACUGGGGCUAAUACCGGAUAGGAGCUCCUGCUGCAUGGUGGGGGUUGGAAAGUUUCGGCGGUUGGGGAUGGACUCGCGGCUUAUCAGCUUGUUGGUGGGGUAGUGGAUUACCAAGGCUUUGACGGGUAGCCGGCCUGAGAGGGUGACCGGCCACAGUGGGACUGAGAUACGGCCCAGACUCCUACGGGAGGCAGGAGUGGGGAAUAUUGCACGAUGGGCGGAAGCCUGAUGCAGCAACGCCGCGUGCGGGAUGACGGCCUUCGGGUUGUAAACCGCUUUCGCCUGUGACGAAGCGUGAGUGACGGUAAUGGGUAAAGAAGCACCGGCUAACUACGUG